UGAAUACGAGAUGCUACGGCGUCGAAGCAGUCUAUGUCAUACUUCCAAGAAAAGCUUGCACUGUCAUAAACAAAUAAUGCCUGUACCAUAACCGACACAGGUGGGUAGGUAGAGUAUACUAAGGGGCGCGAGAUAACUCUCUCUAAGGAACUCGGCAAAAUGACUCCGUAACUUCGGGAGAAGGAGUGCCUUAUUUAUAAGGUUGCAAUAACAAGAUCCAAGCAACUGUUUAUCAAAAACACAGGUCUCCGCUAAGUCGUAAGACGAUGUAUGGGGGCUGACGCCUGCCCAGUGCCAGAAGGUUAAAGAAGUUGGUUAGUGUAUGCGAAGCUGAUGACUGAAGCCCUGGUGAACGGCGGCCGUAACAAUAACGGUCCUAAGGUAGCGAAAUUCCUUGUCGGGUAAGUUCCGACCCGCACGAAAGGCGUAAUGAUUUGGAUACUGUCUCGGAGAGAGGCUCGGUGAAAUAGACUUGUCUGUGAAGAUGCGGACUACCUGCACCAGGACAGAAAGACCCUAUGAAGCUUUACUGUAACUUGAAAUUGGAAUUGGACUUUGCUUGCGCAGUAUAGGUGGGAAGCGUUGAAGAUAUUCUUGCGGGAGUAUUGGAGCUAUCAGUGAGAUACCACUCUUGUAAUGUUAGAUUUCUAACUUUGAACCAUAAUCUGGUCAAAGAACAGUUUCAGGUGGGCAGUUUGACUGGGGCGGUCGCCUCCCAAAUGGUAACGGAGGCGUACAAAGGUUUCCUCUGAACGGAUAGAAAUCGUAUCUAGAGUGUAAAGGCAUAAGGAAGCUUGACUGUGAGACCUACAAGUCGAGCAGGGACGAAAGUCGGUCUUAGUGAUCUGACGGUACUGAGUGGAAAGGCCGUCACUCAACGGAUAAAAGUUACUCUAGGAUAACAGGCUGAUCUCCCCCAAGAGUUCACAUCGACGGGGAGGUUUGGCACCUCGAUGUCGGCUCAUCGCAUCCUGGGGCGGUAGUACGUCCCAAGGGUUGGGCUGUUCGCCCAUGAAAGCGGUACGCGAGCUGGGUUCAGAACGUCGUGAGACAGUUCGGUCUAUAUCCGGUGUAGGCGUUAGAAUAUUGAGAGGAGCCUUCUUUAGUACGAGAGGACCGAGAAGGACACACCGCUGGUGUACCAGUUAUCGUGCCAACGGUAAACGCUGGGUAGCUAUGUGUGGAGUGGAUAACCGCUGAAAGCAUCUAAGUGGGAAGCCCACCUCAAGAUGAGUAUUCUCAU
This 1243-nucleotide ribosomal RNA is filed under the name metagenome. RNAcentral describes it as "bacterial LSU rRNA". It matches the Rfam family "Bacterial large subunit ribosomal RNA", at positions 1564 to 2817 of the family's 2925-position model. The record is from RNAcentral.